This 712-nucleotide ribosomal RNA is filed under the name uncultured Variovorax sp. RNAcentral describes it as "bacterial SSU rRNA". It matches the Rfam family "Bacterial small subunit ribosomal RNA", at positions 56 to 763 of the family's 1533-position model. The record is from RNAcentral. Lineage: Bacteria; Pseudomonadati; Pseudomonadota; Betaproteobacteria; Burkholderiales; Comamonadaceae.
UGCAAGUCGAACGGCAGCGCGGGAGCAAUCCUGGCGGCGAGUGGCGAACGGGUGAGUAAUACAUCGGAACGUGCCCAAUCGUGGGGGAUAACGCAGCGAAAGCUGUGCUAAUACCGCAUACGAUCUACGGAUGAAAGCAGGGGAUCGCAAGACCUUGCGCGAAUGGAGCGGCCGAUGGCAGAUUAGGUAGUUGGUGAGGUAAAGGCUCACCAAGCCUUCGAUCUGUAGCUGGUCUGAGAGGACGACCAGCCACACUGGGACUGAGACACGGCCCAGACUCCUACGGGAGGCAGCAGUGGGGAAUUUUGGACAAUGGGCGAAAGCCUGAUCCAGCCAUGCCGCGUGCAGGAUGAAGGCCUUCGGGUUGUAAACUGCUUUUGUACGGAACGAAACGGCCUUUUCUAAUAAAGAGGGCUAAUGACGGUACCGUAAGAAUAAGCACCGGCUAACUACGUGCCAGCAGCCGCGGUAAUACGUAGGGUGCAAGCGUUAAUCGGAAUUACUAGGCGUAAAGCGUGCGCAGGCGGUUAUGUAAGACAGUUGUGAAAUCCCCGGGCUCAACCUGGGAACUGCAUCUGUGACUGCAUAGCUAGAGUACGGUAGAGGGGGAUGGAAUUCCGCGUGUAGCAGUGAAAUGCGUAGAUAUGCGGAGGAACACCGAUGGCGAAGGCAAUCCCCUGGACCUGUACUGACGCUCAUGCACGAAAGCGUG